This is a long non-coding RNA of Rhincodon typus (whale shark), 1049 nucleotides long. RefSeq lists it as uncharacterized. The record is from RefSeq and is a predicted model, not a curated record. NCBI's taxonomy places the organism in Eukaryota, Metazoa, Chordata, Chondrichthyes, Orectolobiformes, Rhincodontidae. The transcript is spliced from 3 exons.
UAUUGUUUGUGAAAGUCCUGCAACGGUCUUAGCUGUGCAUAGUCAAACUGUUCAGAUCCCACCAUGCCCAAGGGGUUGGAAGUCCUUGUGGAUAGGCUAUUCCUUUGUAAUGCACAGAAGCUCAGGUGCAGAGGGAUCAGGCCAAGCACUGGCUUCACCUGGCUCCUGUUUAGAAGAAUUUCGUGUUGCCCCCUUUAUUGAAUGUCAUGGACGGGGAACUUGCAGCUAUUAUGUAAAUACUUACAGUUUUUGGCUGGCGACGUUAGAUCCCUCACAGAUGUUCAGGAAACCCAGACCACAAACACUAAAGGCAGGAGAAUUACGAUCCAUAAUAAGCCGCUGUCAAGUCUGUACAAAGUAAAUCUGAACUCAAAAGAGUAUAAUGGUGCUGUUCUUAAUUAUGUUUGAAAGGUAUUAAUACAGAAAUGAAGAUAUAAUAAUGUUAUUAUUUUAUGGUGUUGAUUGGACUGUAGCAAACACUGCUAAUAAAUUUGCCAGACACUGUUGAUAUUGGUAACAUUUGUAAUCACACUCACAUCAACAAAGUAAUUGAUAGUAAAGUGAUGGUGCUGUGACAAAGCUUAGCAAAGAUUCUGCCCUUUGCUUUUGCAAUGAUAAAUAUUUUACUCAACAAUAGUACAAAUGUGGACUCCAUUGAUCUUCACAUCACAAUUAAACUAAUUAGUGUAAGACUUUGAUGGAGUUUCACGUUUAUCAUUUUCCGUCAUCUGAUGAUUUAGACAAAUCUUUAAUUUGAGAAACUACAAGUUAACACUGAGCCACAAGUACAUUGCACAGAUAGCAUUUACCUAAUAAUGUGCACUUAAUAGAGAAAUAUAUUAAAAUUAGAGCAUUGCCUUUUUGGAAUAGACAGCAUUUCAAUCUGCAGUAGUCUAUAUUUUUGGUAGUUAUUCAGAGUGCAAUUUUAUAUGCACAGUAAUGUGCAUAUUAAACCUAUAUAUAGGAACUUGUAUCCUUUCUACAAAAUAUUGGGGACAUUAGAGAUAAUCUUAAAGUUUAUCACAGGGUAAGAUAUGGAUGCAAGUGAU